CCGGACGCGCCCCGGCGCUAGGGCUUGUGUGACCUUGGCCCAAACGCGUAAUUCUCCCUGGCUGUGAAACGGGACUGGUCGUCUGACCUGCCGCUCCUCGAGCUUGGGGAACCAGCUCAAAAUAACCCUUUCAUUCCGGGCUCUCCUCUACCGCUUUGAAUGAGUCACUGACUCCAUAAUCAUCAUAUAGGGCAGACUGUUAAAACUUUUUCAGGAUUGGAGAUGUGUUUAAAAGUCAUUGAAUAUUUAUUGGACCUCUGCUAUUCAAUCAGUUGUGGGCUACGCUGAAAUUCUUGUUCAUUUAUUGUCCAAGUAUUUGUUGGUCUCCCAGCUUCAGUCAUAAAUGUCUCUUGGAACUUAAGCUUCUCAAAGCAGAGAUCCUGUUGCCUAUUUUCUGUACCUAAACCCGGAGUAGGGACUCAAAAAGUACCUGUCAAGGGAACACAGGAAUAUGGCACCGCCUUCUAUCUACACUGUCCUCGGAGCUAAAAAUGGGGAACUUGUAGUUGUCUCUUCUCAGCCGUCAGUAGUCAACAAAUCAUAGUAUUUGGUGUCUUAAAAAUAUCUCGAUAGUUUGUUUGCUCAUUCCUCGGCCAGUAACAGCUAAUACUCCAAAUCGCCAUUCUUUGCAAUAGUCUCUCAAUAAGCUCCCCGCCACCAAUCUUCUUCCUUCCCUGUUGAUCAUUCACCAAAGGUACCAGAGUGAUCUUUCUAAAAGGAAGCCAGAUUAUAUCACUCUCUUGCUUAAAACACUACUUGAAUAUUGAAUAAAUUAUGAAAUCACCACUAAGGUUUUCAUCUGCCAGACACUAUUCUGAACUCUUCACAUAUUGAUUGAUUUGAUCCUCAAAAAAUCCUAUGCAACAAGUACCUUUACUAUAUUCACAUUACAGAGGCAUUAACAAGCACAAGUUAAGUGGGCUUGCUGCAAGACCAGACUAUGAAGUCUGAUCCCAUAAUCAGUCUUUUUCUGCUAAUGGAUUAUGAAUUAUACGCCAUUUAAAAAAGUGAAAUAUUACCUGCAUGGAUUGGCAUGGACUGGUAUCUAACAGGUACUUACAUCAAGAAAAAAAUAGAGCAUGAUUUUAUUUUAAAUGAUAGUAUGUUUGUUUACCUGUAGAAAACAAGCUGAAAGAUUAUGACCCAAACCACAAGUGGUUAAUGUUCUACUUUGUACAUGCCUGUAAAUGUUAGUAUGUUUUUUACAGUGUGCAUGACUGUGUAGGUAACCAGGGAAGGGGAGGAGUUUCUUGCUAAAGGAUAAAGUCCAACUUCCAUAGUCUGUUAAAAUGCACCUGCACAAUCAGACCCUAAUUCAUCUCCCCAACUUUAUUUCCCACCAGUCUUCAUCCAUGUGAAGAACAUGUUCUUUAUAGUCUGUGCCUUUGUUUUGGAUAUUCUCUUAAUCUAGAAUCUUCUGCUUUGCCUUGUCAUU
RNAcentral lists this long non-coding RNA (1435 nucleotides) under Marmota monax (woodchuck). Lineage: Eukaryota; Metazoa; Chordata; Mammalia; Rodentia; Sciuridae. The record is from RNAcentral.